This is a long non-coding RNA of Mercenaria mercenaria, 11020 nucleotides long. RefSeq lists it as uncharacterized. The transcript is spliced from 4 exons. NCBI's taxonomy places the organism in Eukaryota, Metazoa, Mollusca, Bivalvia, Venerida, Veneridae. The record is from RefSeq and is a predicted model, not a curated record.
CUAUGAAAGUUUUUUUACUGAACUGUUUAUGUGACUGACAUUGUAUUUGGAAAACUAACUCAUUUUACUGUACACAAGUAUUUUGAGAGACAUAUAUUAUAGACUGAUACCCUAUAUUCUGUUUACAGUGUUACUGGCAUACAGUGCAGAGUAGAAUAUAUGUGGAAGUUUCUCUGCUAACUACCGUAAAAACUCGAAUAUAUCACGCUAGCAUGUAUAUGACGCACCCCCGAUCUUGUAUCAAAAUCUUGGGGAAAAUGCUUACAUUGGAAUAUAUCACGCGAAAUCAGUCGAAAACGUUGUUUACAAAGUCGAAAUCGGCCAUUAGCGGCAUGCGUAAAAACGAUUUCUCGUGAAAAUCACAAUUGCUGCAUAAUCGGUUACAGACAACAGUGACAAUAACUGACAGACAAAUUAUUUCUAAAGUAUUUGAGAACUUUCUCAAGCUGUCAACACCUUAGCACUUUAACAGACGUGCGAACAAACAUCUCAUAAUUAUGGGCACAUCAAACGAGAAAAUCGCGGCUAAUUAGCGUGUUUGUUUAACAAUGUACGAGCUGCUAUAUUGAUCAGUAAUAAUUUGCUGGAAGAAAUAACAAAGGAUCUGUUUUAAUUGCAAUUUAUUUGAGCAUCCUUGAAAGAUAAUGAUUUUAACGAUCAAACACCAACAACCCGGAACCGCAAAAUUUUGUAUUUUGUCUAAUUAUUAAACUGACACAUUAUCUGGUGCUCUGGAUAUGUACGAUACUUAUUAAUCAAAUUUACAAAUACAAAAAAUUUAAACUCACAAAUAAAAUCAACUUUACCAUAUAUCAUCAGAGGUUCUGUUCCGUACGUGUUUUUAGACCCGCCCAAUAAAACGCUCUCCAAGAGGAGGUUAAAAAUGUAAAUACAUGACAGUUGACAAAAUUGUCCGAUUUUCGCCGAUAUUUUCGGGUUUUCAAGCUGGAAAAAAAUGUUUGAAGCUCUACCUUGGUAUAUAUGACGCAUCCCUUUAAGAAAAUGAAAAAAAUCGUAAAAAAACUGCGUCAUAUAUUCAAGUUUUUACGGUAUGAGAUAUUCUGGGCAAAUUCAUCAAAUAUGAAAGUCGGAAAUCUAGACUAGGACUUGAGAAUAAAUUUGUUUUUGUUCCCUGCAAUUUUAUUUUUAAGACACUACAUUCUAGUUCUUCAAAAUUUUCUUGAUGUUUGCAUAGUUUUAAAGUUUACACUUCUUCUAGUUUUAUGUGGAGCCAAGUCUAAAAUUUCACAUAGAAUGUUUAUGAAUUGUGGUACUGAUAAAUGCUGUGAAAUACUUGUGAUAGAUUCUGGCCAUGAUUUCUUUCUGGCAAGUUUAUUACUUUGUACAUAUAUUAAAUAUAUUUAGUAUAAAAUGCUUGGAAAUAUUUGAAUUUCAGUAUUAGGAAAAUGCUCUUUUAAUGUUUUAUGAUAAUAUUUUAACAGACAUAUUUUAUUUAAGCUGUUGGCUAAACAUCUGUUUGAUAUAAGACAAUACUGUGAGAUAUGGUAAAGAAAAAAAUGUAUUCCUGAUUUUAGAUUAUAAAGAGCUGGUCUAUACACAGUUACAUGGUUAAUGUUAAAUUAUGGUAUUGACUUGUGGACAGGGUAAAAAGAGGUUUUAAUGUUAAAUCAUGGUAUUGAGUUGUGGACAGGGCGAAAAGAGGUUUUAAUGUUAAAUCAUGGUAUUGAGUUGUGGACAGGGCGAAAAGAGGUUUUAAUGUUAAAUCAUGGUAUUGAUUUGUGGACAGGGCGAAAAGAGGUUUUAAUGUUAAAUCAUGGUAUUGAGUUGUGGACAGGGCGAAAAGAGGUUUUAAUGUUAAAUCAUGGUAUUGAGUUGUGGACAGGGCGAAAAGAGGUUUUAAUGUUAAAUCACGGUAUUGACUUGUGGACAGGGCGAAAAGAGGUUUUAAUGUUAAAUCAUGGUAUUGAGUUGUGGACAGGGCGAAAAGAGGUUUUAAUGUUAAAUCAUGGUAUUGAUUUGUGGACAGGGCGAAGCGAAAGGAUGUAUUAAUGUUAGAUCACGGUAUUGACUUGUGGACAGGGCAAAAAGAGGUUUUAAUGUUAAAUCAUGGUAUUGAGUUGUGGACAGGGCGAAAAGAGGUUUUAAUGUUAAAUCAUGGUAUUGACUUGUGGACAGGGCGAAAAGAGGUUUUAAUGUUAAAUCAUGGUAUUGAGUUGUGGACAGGGCGAAAAGAGGUUUUAAUGUUAAAUCAUGGUAUUGAGUUGUGGACAGGGCGAAAAGAGGUUUUAAUGUUAAAUCAUGGUAUUGAGUUGUGGACAGGGCGAAAAGAGAAUUUAAUGUUAAAUCAUGGUAUUGAGUUGUGGACAGGGCGAAAAGAGGUUUUAAUGUUAAAUCAUGGUAUUGAUUUGUGGACAGGGCGAAGCGAAAGGAUGUAUAAAUGUUAGAUCACGGUAUUGACUUGUGGACAGGGCGAAAAGAGGUUUUAAUGUUAAAUCAUGGUAUUGAGUUGUGGACAGGGCGAAGCGAAAGGAUGUAUAAAUGUUAGAUCACGGUAUUGACUUGUGGACAGGGCGAAAAGAGGUAUUAAUGUUAGAUCACGGUAUUGACUUGUGGACAGGGCAAAAGGACGUAUUAAUGUUAGAUCACGGUAUUGACUUGUGGACAGGGCAAAAAGAGGUAUUAAUGUUAGAUCACGGUAUUGACUUGUGGACAGGGCAAAAAGACGUAUUAAUGUUAGAUCACGGUAUUGACUUGUGGACAGGGCAAAAGGACGUAUUAAUGUUAUAUCACGGUAUUGACUUGCGGACAGGGCAAAAGGACGUAUUAAUGUUAUAUCACGGUAUUGACUUGUGGACAGGGCAAAAGGACGUAUUAAUGUUAUAUCACGGUAUUGACUUGUGGACAGGGCAAAAAGACGUAUUAAUGUUAUAUCACGGUAUUGACUUGUGGACAGGGCAAAAGGACGUAUUAAUGUUAUAUCACGGUAUUGACUUGUGGACAGGGCAAAAAGACGUAUUAAUGUUAUAUCACGGUAUUGACUUGUGGACAGGGCAAAAAGAUGUAUUAAUGUUAUAUCACGGUAUUGUCUUGUGGACAGGGCCACAAUAUAAGCCACUUUCCCAAAGUCUAAAGAAAGAAAACUUAUCUGUUUGUGCCAUCACCAGAGUUUAACCUACAUCCAGGUCUUUAUCACAAUAAGUGAAAGAAAUAGCUAGACUAGAGAGGUGCUUACAUGUUCUGUUUGACCGGAGGUAUUUUCACCCAUAGCAUAACAAUAUGUUAUGGUGUACGACUCUGAUAGAAAGUCUACAUGGCUUUCACUUGCAUAAAUGUAUAUAGGUACCCAGGCAAUGGUCAUUAUUUUCUCGUGUAACUUCACAACUCAUAAAAGAAACUUGGUGCUUCCAAUUUUUAGCUCACCUGAGCAACUAUGAUAACCUUGUGUUCAUCAUCAUCUGCCAUGCAUGGUUUACAGACUGUGAAUACUCUAGAGGUUUCAGUUUUGGUGCAGUCGUAAUGAAACUUGGUCAGUAUAUUUUUCUUAAUAAAGUCUCCAGCAAGAUCAAAAUUAGAUCAUCUAGGAUCAAAAACUAAGUUACUAGGUCAAAUAAUAGAAAAACCUUGUAACCACUUUAGAAGCCAUCCUUUCUACCUGAUUUCUGUGGAAGCAGGUUUGAAUGUUUUGUCUCUAUGAAAUUGGGAUCAUGUUUGAAACUGGGUUAUCUUGGGUCAUAAACUUGUCACUAGGUCUUAUAUAGAAUAAUCUAGUUAUCUUUAUAAUCUCUUUAGGCCAUAUUUUCUGCUUGAUCUUUUUGAUACCUAAUUGGUAUAUUUGUCUUUAUGCAUCUAGGUCAAGUUUGAAUCUGGGUCUUCUGGUGUCAGAUCGUAGAAAAAACUUGUUAACACUCUAGGGGCCAUACUUGUUUCUUGAUCUUUAUGAAACCUGGUCAAAUUUUCUUCAUUAAGUCUAGAUCAAGUUCGAAAUUUGAUCAUCUUGCAUCAAAAAUUGAAUUAAUAGAACAAAACAUAGAACACCUGUGUUGACACUCUUGAGGCUAUGUUUUCAACAUAAUCUGUAUGAAACCUGAUCAGAAUGUUUUCCUUCAUGAAAUAAAGGUUGAAUAUGAAUGUGGAUCACUUUCAACAACGUUGGGGUCUAAAACUAGGUUAAAUCAAAGAAAAAUGUUUUGAAUACUGUAGGGCCCAUAUUCUACUUGAUCUAUAUGUAACCUGAUCAGUGUGAAAUCUAGAUCAGGUUCAGAACUGUGUCAUCUGGGGUCAAAAUAUAGGUCACAGGACCAAAUCAUAGCAUUGUUAACACUAGAAAACUUACUACCAAGCUUAAAGUCAUAUUUUCUAAAUUUGACUCGAUGAAAUAAAUGACAGUUUUGAUACUGGGUCACUUUUGCAUAAAAUCAGGUUACUAGCCCAACUUAUAGAAAAAGAUUAACAUUAGAAAUCACAUUUUUGAAUGGAUCUUCAUUAAACUUCUUGUCUGUCUAGUUUUAUACAAAAUAGCAUCGUUACCUUCUAUGAUACAGUUUGUCAUGGCAUAUAUUUAUGGUGAAACAGUUAAGAUCAGGUGAGCAACUUAAUCUUGGCCCUCUUGUUACCCUAGAUUAUUUGUUUUCAAGUUUUUAGAUUGAAAUGCAUUAUAUCCAUAGAAUAACUAUAUUUUGUGCUAGAUAAAUAUCUUGAGAAGUGAUUGAAUUUUUCUACUGUAAUUCUUUUAGAUGAAAGUACUUGACAUAUCAAUACUAUAGCUAGUGUUACACCUCAGUGUUUACACUCAAUACAGCAACUGAAUCAGUAUGAUAGGUGAAUAUUAGUGUUACAGUGAAAUCAUUGGAUUUUGUGGGUAGGAAACCUUGUGAUUUGACUAAAACAGCUAUUUUGUUUGUGGUUUUCAUUUUUACUUUUGAAGAUUAAAUGAAAGGAAAGUUUAUGUUUUGUUGGGAUUUGACAUUGGUGAAAGUUAGUUGUGCAUGGAUAUCAGUGAUACGUCAGUAUUGUACUGCAGCUCACUAACAUGCACAAUUGACCAAUUAUGUCCAGUAAACAAUAGUAAGUCAUUGAUCUCAUUACUUUAAUGUGAACUAGUACAUGUAGUUUGUGAAUUAUAGACACUAUUCAAGAUUCAGUUUUAGCUCACCUCAGCGCUAAGUGCUUCAGUUGAGCUAUUGUGAUCACACUGUAUCCGUCAUUGUGCGUCAUGUCAUCAACAGUUUACUGUUAACACACUAGAGGACACAAGUUUUGCCUGAUCAUAAAGAAACUUGGUCAGUAUAGUCACAACUUGGUCAGUACGUAGAGUCACAAACAAGUUUAAUACUGAGUUAUCUGGAGUCAAAAUAUAUUAGAUAAGCUUAUUAACAAAUAGAAACCAUAUUUUUUACCUUAUCUUCAUAUAUAUAUGUCGGAAUGUUUGUCUUUAUGAAAUCUAGGUCACGUUGGGUUCAGAAGUAGGUCAUUAGGUCACAUCAUAGAAAAACCUACAAUCUAGAAGCCACAUUUUAUCCUGAUCUUCAUAGAAUAUUGUCAGAAUGUUUAUAUUUAUAAUUUGUUGGUUAAUUUUAAAAUGGGUUACCAAGGGGUCAGGUCACUUGGUCAGAUUAUAGAAAAACAGAAUAUGAUAUGUAUGAUGAUCUUGGUCUGCACUGGUCGCAAAGGCAAAACCACUUGCCACCAGCAGGCUAAAAGACUAAAGGUUAAAAAUUUCAUGUCAAGAUUGAGAUAUUAUCAUAUGAGGUCAAAAACUAUGUCACUGUCAGAUCAUACAAGAAACUUUAACACUUCAGAGGAUGUAUUUUAGACCUGAUUUGCAUGAACCCCUUUAGAAAAUCAUUUGUCUUGAUGAAAUCUAGGUCAUAUAUGAAAAACUAGGUCAUAAGGUCAGAUCAUAGAAAAACCUUGUUGGUAUUGAGGAUAUUUUUCAUCUGAUUAAGGUAGUACAUGUUCAAAAUGAGUGUCUUGAUGAAAUCUUAGCCAGGUUUGAAACUGGAUCAUCUGGGCUUUAAAACUAGGUCACUAUGUCAAAUAGUAGAAAACUUGUGUUAAGAGGCAAUAUUUUCUACCUGACCUGAAUGAAACAUGGUCAAAAUUAUUCUACAUGAACUACGUCAAAUGUAAAACUCUGUCAUAUUUAGUAAAAAACUAGGUCACUUGGUCAUAUUAUAGACAAAAUUGCAAACGUUGUUGAGGCCACAUUUGCUACCUGACAUGCAUGAAACUUUAUCAGAAUGUUUGUCCUUUUACAACUUAUGUUAAAGUAAGUUAAAUACUAGGCGAUUGUUAACACUCCACAGGGAACAUUAUCUACCUGAUCUACAUGAAAUCUUGGGUCAGAAUGUUUUUCUUUUUUGUCCAGGUUUAAAUUGGGUCAUCUGCUUCACUCUGGUGAGCAAUACAGGGCUUUCACAGCCCUCUUGUUAUAUAUAUUAGAGAAAUAGAUGUGAGGUGUAUAGAUAGAGCCUCAGACACUAUAGACUGUGGUUCUCAUCCCAUGCCGUAUUUAGCCUUAAGCCAGUAAUUUGUUUACAUGAGUUGUGAUAAGUUUCCAGUGCAAUGAAUAUGAAAUAAAUAAAUGAAUACAUAGAUGUUAUUAAAAUUCCACUGUAUGGGACAUGUUGAAAUUUGAGAAUAAUGAUCAAAUGAUGUAACCAGUUAACUCAAGACAAUAUACAACUACUGACACCAUGUUUUACCUAAAAUCAGCGAUAAAUGUCUUACAUACAAGGGAAACUUCAUUGCUAUUGUUAUAUUUUAUGUGAUAAUUUUUAAUGCAGUUGUGGUAUUGAACAUCAGUUCCUGAAUCUUUGUAAAGAGGACAGAUGUUUGUGUCAGUGCAAAAAAGAAAUAUCUCACACUAAGUGAACACCGGAUACAGUACUUCCAUCAAUGUAAGGUCUUGUGUUCAUAAGUGAAAGAUAUUUGACAUUAUAUGUAAAACAAGCAAACAUUCUUUUAUUUCAUAUCAUUACAGGUUUUAACAAAAUUUUACGGAUGUUGUAGUUGUGUAUUGGUAUUUUCACUGUGAAAUAACAUGAUAAAUUGAAUGUUUAAGGUAGUGGAUCUGUAAUAACAUUCAGCAUUUGAGCCGCACCUUGAGAAAACCAACAUAGUGCGCUUGCGUUCGCUUUCAAAGCCUAUUGCAAUUAGAGAAACCGUUAGCGAACAGCAUGGAUCCUGACCAGACUGCGCGGAUGUGCAGGCUGGUCUGGAUCCAUGCUGGUCGCAAAUGCACUAUGUUGGUUUUCUCAUGGCAUGGCUCAUUUGCUGUUUGAAAUGGAAUAUUAGCAUUUUCCAGUUGUUAUAAAAAUAAUUUUCUGUUCUGACCAAAGGAUGCUGAAAUAGUACAUAAUGAUAUGUGAACACAUGAAAAAUUCCAAGUGUUGUUACAGGUCAACAACCUGACUAUCAUUAGAAUGUAAAAAUAUGAAAGAACGUAAGAAUUUCAUAUUUUUAGAGAAUAAUGAGAAGUAUUGAAAAACAUUCCAAGGAUGGUGAUAUUCUGGUAGAUUUAUCUAAGGAAUUGUGACAUCUUGUUUUUGGUCGAGACCUUUCAGUCAAAGUCAGAAGUUUGGUUUUACUGUGAAAGUUAAUAAACAUGUUUCUUUAGUAAUAGUUGUGUUUUGAGGAUGUAACAGAUUUUCUCCCUAGAUUUUACCAAGUGAUAUUUUCUGGUUUUUAUUCCAGUCUGAGUGCUAUGUACAUGUGUUCAGUAUCGUUUUAAAGUUUUUGUUUUCUGUGUUCUGUAAUCUUAUGUCAGAUGUGAUAUACUGUAUUUAUGUUUUUCUGUUAAAGAUAUGUUUAUGUACUUGUAGUUCCUUGGACAGCAAUAUAUAAUGGGACACACUUUGUAAUGCUCUUACUUUACCAAGCUAACAGUGUAGGCAGUGAGGCCAAAUUCCAAACAAGAAAAUAGGUUUAACAUCUCUUGGAAGGAAAAAGGUCUUAAAAUACAGUCAGAAUUGAAACUAGAAAGCUACAGAUUAAACUGCCACUGAAAUUUCCAUUUUGCAUCCAUUAAAUGAAAAAAAACUUUAAAAAAAUUCCUUCCAGCCAUGGAUGUGGUAUUGUGAACCAGAAAGACAGUGAGAAUAAUUUUGCUACUUGACCUUGAGCUUAAAACAACCAACUGAAUAACAUAUGUGGUGAAAGACAUGAUGAAUUGAAGUUUUUUUUCUUAGGUGAUGGUUAUUAUUUCAACUUGUAUUCCAUUAAUGUAGGUAUGAUGAUGGAGUUGAAAAAUGUAUUAAAUUUUAUUGAUGUUAUCAUACAGUGUUACAAAUUACUUGUAAAAUGUAAGGAAUGUAUGGUCAAAUACAGAUAAUUUUAUUCUUGGUAGAAUGUUUUAAAGAAGGUAAGAAAGUCUUAGGAUGUCCAUGAUUAUUUUAUUUGUGUCAUAUAUAUGAAAAUUUCAUUUUGUAGAACUGUGUUUAUUUUGGAAAUAUUGCACAAAGAUAUGACAAUUUUGCUUUCUUAUCUAAUAACUAUUUACUUAAUUACUUCGCACAAAAAUACAUAAUUAUGAACUUAUUUAGAAAAAAAGUGUUUGAACUGAAAUACUGCAACACACAACUAAAUGGUUUUAAGGACUGACAUAUAUAUUAGGGAUGAAAGGUUGGUAAGGGUUUCACAGGAGAAAUCUUGUUGUUUUGCUGUAUGAGGAUUUUUUGUCCAUUCAUGAUGAAAUCAUGUCUCAUGUAAGUUUAUUAGUUCCUUGUAAAUUGUGUUGUGUAUUAUAUGUGUAACUAUGAUAGUUAUAAUGAAUGCCUCUUAUUUUAACAGAUUGGAUUAAUCUUUGCUUGCACAACUUGCUAUAUAUUAUACAGUUAAAUUGUUUGAGAUGUAGCAGAAUAUUACGAAUGAAAAAGAAAACAACAAUAUUAGGUAUGUUGUACAAAGUUACAGUUCAUAAAAACAGCAGAUCAUUACCAGUUCUUUUUGUCUGAAAUCUUUAUAUGACUUUUUUAGACACUUGCUAAUAUUUAUUUUUCAAUUGAAUUCCAUUGUUGUGGUUUUGUUUAGACUAGCCACUAGACUGAUAAAGAAUUUGUCACAAAAUUUCAACUUUUGCAAUUUUUCUCUUGUUUUAUGUGAUAGUGACAAAGGCAAGUCUAUUUUAGAGAACUGGUUGUAAUAUUAUCAUAUAUGAUAUUUUACGUAGGAUAUAGACUGGCUACAUUCACAAUUAUAAAAAUUUAAAAAGUAUAUACCGUAGUCUAGGAGCUAGUCUAGGUCUUUUGUACAGUUUAGUCUGUGGAUUCAAAGGCAAAAUGGUUUAAUUUUGAAAAUUUUAGACGAAAUUCUAUGAAAAUAUGUCUUUUUAUCUUUGUAUUCGAAGUGCUUUUUUCAUGUACACUGCUUGAUUUUCAUGACAAAAUUAAUUUUAUGAAAAACUAGACCAACAAUAUAAAAUCAGACUGGAGUUUUGUCCUCCACCUGUUUCAAACAAAAAAAUAAAUCCUUUGAAAACCGGACUUCUGUCUGGUUUUCAGAAUUUUUACUGUACCUUCCUCCUAUGAAAAAGAGCACAUGUAUGUUUUUCAGUUUUCCCACAAAUUUAAAAAUGAAGUAUAAAGUAAGAUGAUUUAUAAUGAUAAAUAUUAAAAAAGCAGUCAGCAGUUGUAUACUUCCAGGUUAAGUUUUAAGUUAUUGUAUACAUAGCUAAAUAUAAUGUGUAGCAUUAUUAUGAUUGCAGUACUUUGGCUUAUGUAUCUAUACAUUGACUUACACUGGUAUGUGAACUUUCACUGGUGUCGUUUCAUUAGUAUCUUUCAUUUGCUUUUGUUAAUUUCUUACCUGAACAUGAUAAAAUAUUUCAUCAUAUUGUUUGCUUCUAUUUUCUCACCUGUUUAAAAGAAGAAAUCACAAAUCUUUAUAUCCAGAUACUAUAGGUACAAGUAUUUGGAGCAGUUACCAGUCAUAGAUAUUAGAAUAUACGAGGGUUGUCCCAAUAAAUUGUUCGCUCUUGGAAUAAAUCAUUUUAUUGAAGUCUGAUUUCAGUUAAUUUAAACACAUGUAUAUUUUGUCUAUUUCCAAGAAACUAUAAAAGAUUUUUAUUAAAGUCCGAUAUAUUCGAGUCGUGCAACCCAUAAGGUACAAUUAAGAAAUUGUGCUCCUACUUCAAACUGUUAUAACAGCAUAUUAUCAAAAUUUUUCGCUAAGCAUUCAUAUACAGUAUAUGUCGGCUUUAAUCAUUCUUAAGUCACGCUUUCAAAUUUGACAUUAUUAUCUAAAACAGUUUUCUUUCAUGUAUACAAGUGAUCAAACUCAUCAGCUAAAAAUGGCGAUGUCAGAAGAUGCCACGAUGCACCAGAAACUGGUCAGAUUCUGUGUAGAAUACUGGAUAACUCCUCCAUAAUUAUACUCUUGAAGAUGUUGCAACAUGUUGAGAGGCAUCAGAAUGUAAGUGGUAUCGCAGAUUUUCUAUGAGUCAUUCAGAAAUUGUGCCGCAAAGUCACCGAAUAGCUGCGAUUAUAAACAACAGAUGCAAGACGUCAUAAACAUCGACAGUGGACAAAUGCAAGAAGGAUCCGAUAUUACGAGAUGUUUAAACUAUACAACUGUACAGUGGCUAGUUUAAAUGUACCAACAAUUUAUAGACUUGUCAUGUAUUCUUAUGCAAUGAGUUCCUUGGCCAUUGUAAGUGUAUUGAGCUAGCAGGGAAUUAUUGUGAGAAAGGAUGCAUAGUGCUACAUGUGGUUGACUGUAAUAAUGUUUCAUUGUGCUGAGGUAGUGGCUAUGUCCUCCACUUCAUCUUCUUGUAGAAUCCUAAUUCUGAUACACAUUAUAUUGUUAUUAUCUGAGACUGUAAAAACCUUGUUAAUUAAUGCCAGUUGUUUUCCGUAUUAUUUCCAAUGUCAACAAUUUAAAAGGACAGCCCUCGUAUAUGAUUAGAAGAAUGUAGAAAAAAGCAACCCCCUUGACAUGUAGAGGAUGUUUUAUUGACUGGCAGUAUGUUUUAUAAAAAAUGUCCCUAUGGAGGGGAACAUCGUUAAUUCUGUUAUAAUUUCAUGUUUUAUGUAAAAGUCAAUAAAUAAUGUCAUAUAAAUGA